This 1014-nucleotide ribosomal RNA is filed under the name Salmonella enterica. RNAcentral describes it as "partial 23S ribosomal RNA". It matches the Rfam family "Bacterial large subunit ribosomal RNA", at positions 830 to 1757 of the family's 2925-position model. The record is from RNAcentral. RNAcentral also lists the same sequence under 1 other name. Lineage: Bacteria; Pseudomonadati; Pseudomonadota; Gammaproteobacteria; Enterobacterales; Enterobacteriaceae.
CAAUCAAACCGGGAGAUAGCUGGUUCUCCCCGAAAGCUAUUUAGGUAGCGCCUCGUGAAUUCAUCUCCGGGGGUAGAGCACUGUUUCGGCUAGGGGGCCAUCCCGGCUUACCAACCCGAUGCAAACUGCGAAUACCGGAGAAUGUUAUCACGGGAGACACACGGCGGGUGCUAACGUCCGUCGUGAAGAGGGAAACAACCCAGACCGCCAGCUAAGGUCCCAAAGUCAUGGUUAAGUGGGAAACGAUGUGGGAAGGCCCAGACAGCCAGGAUGUUGGCUUAGAAGCAGCCAUCAUUUAAAGAAAGCGUAAUAGCUCACUGGUCGAGUCGGCCUGCGCGGAAGAUGUAACGGGGCUAAACCAUGCACCGAAGCUGCGGCAGCGAACGUAUCACCCAAGACAACUUUACGGAGUUGACGAUUGACGGAGCGAAGCGACGUCAAAGCGUUCAUUAAAGUCGAGUUGGCUUAGGGAUACGUUCGUUGGGUAGGGGAGCGUUCUGUAAGCCUGUGAAGGUGUGUCGUGAGGCAUGCUGGAGGUAUCAGAAGUGCGAAUGCUGACAUAAGUAACGAUAAAGCGGGUGAAAAGCCCGCUCGCCGGAAGACCAAGGGUUCCUGUCCAACGUUAAUCGGGGCAGGGUGAGUCGACCCCUAAGGCGAGGCCGAAAGGCGUAGUCGAUGGGAAACGGGUUAAUAUUCCCGUACUUGGUGUUACUGCGAAGGGGGGACGGAGAAGGCUAUGUUGGCCGGGCGACGGUUGUCCCGGUUUAAGCGUGUAGGUGUGUGUUCCAGGUAAAUCCGGUUCACUUUAACACUGAGGCGUGACGACGAGGCACUACGGUGCUGAAGCAACAAAUGCCCUGCUUCCAGGAAAAGCCUCUAAGCAUCAGGUAACAUCAAAUCGUACCCCAAACCGACACAGGUGGUCAGGUAGAGAAUACCAAGGCGCUUGAGAGAACUCGGGUGAAGGAACUAGGCAAAAUGGUGCCGUAACUUCGGGAGAAGGCACGCUGACAC